GAAAUCCAUGGGGAUGG
RNAcentral lists this microRNA (17 nucleotides) under Pteropus alecto (black flying fox). RNAcentral's name for it is "pal-miR-9995-5p". Lineage: Eukaryota; Metazoa; Chordata; Mammalia; Chiroptera; Pteropodidae. The record is from miRBase by way of RNAcentral.